RNAcentral lists this ribosomal RNA (161 nucleotides) under Mycosphaerella latebrosa. RNAcentral describes it as "5.8S ribosomal RNA". The stretch from base 1 to 91 matches the Rfam family "5.8S ribosomal RNA", at positions 64 to 154 of the family's 154-position model. From Rfam's summary of the family: 5.8S ribosomal RNA (5.8S rRNA) is a component of the large subunit of the eukaryotic ribosome. It is transcribed by RNA polymerase I as part of the 45S precursor that also contains 18S and 28S rRNA. Lineage: Eukaryota; Fungi; Ascomycota; Dothideomycetes; Mycosphaerellales; Mycosphaerellaceae. RNAcentral also lists the same sequence under 1 other name. The record is from RNAcentral.
AAUGUGAAUUGCAGAAUUCAGUGAAUCAUCGAAUCUUUGAACGCACAUUGCGCCCUCUGGUAUUCCGGAGGGCAUGCCUGUUCGAGCGUCAUUUCACCACUCAAGCCUGGCUUGGUAUUGGGCGCCGCGGUGUUCCGCGCGCCUCAAAGUCUCCGGCUGAG